UAGUCCACGCUGUAAACGAUGAGUGCAAGGUGUUGGGGGUCAAACCCCGGUGCCGCCGUUAACACAGUAAGCACUCCGCCUGGGGAGUACGUACGCAAGUAUGAAACUCAAAGGAAUUGACGGGGACCCGCACAAGCAGCGGAGCAUGUGGUUUAAUUCGAAGCAACGCGAAGAACCUUACCAAGGCUAGACAUUUUGUGGACCGGUCUAGAGAUAGACCCUUUCUACGGAACCGCAAAAC
Molecule: ribosomal RNA, 241 nt
Filed under: uncultured bacterium
Lineage: Bacteria
Description: partial 16S ribosomal RNA
Rfam family: Bacterial small subunit ribosomal RNA
Source: RNAcentral